Molecule: long non-coding RNA, 801 nt
Organism: Pyrus x bretschneideri (Chinese white pear)
Lineage: Eukaryota; Viridiplantae; Streptophyta; Magnoliopsida; Rosales; Rosaceae
Exons: 4
Source: RefSeq, a predicted model, not a curated record
UACUCCUUACCAAUGGCGCUCCACACGCCCAGGGUGGUUGUUUGCCCUCUCUCGUUUGGAGCCCAGCACUCGCUCCUCCCUCCAAAACCCCAUAAUCGGCCGUUAUUCAUAUUCUUCGUCCGCCAUUAAAACCCAUAUUCCGAAACGCCCGCCGAAUAGCCGCCAAGAGCCACGGCGGCGACGCCCCACAAGUAUACUUUAUCCUAACCCAAUUACCCAAUUCGCAGAACUUGCAAGAGACCCAGAAGUUCAUGGCUGAGCAUUCCAGGAGGCUGUUGAAGGAGAAGGAGACUUUUGGGCCUGAUCUCCACGGUGGUGAUAGGCAGUCUGUGCGGAGACAGCUUCCAUUCUUUCUGGCAAAUGUUUGGACUUGUUGCUACCUACAAUAUCAAUAUGUGGUGCAUGAAGCUAAAGUCUAAACUGCUGGGAGGUAGAUUCGAACUUGGAUGUAUAGGGUAAUCAGCGACUUCUUGCACAAGGAGUAUGGAGGACCUGGGACAUUGUUGGCAGAGCCUUGCACUGAUAUAUUGGUUGCUCUGAAAGAGAAGGAACUACCAGGAGCACCUUUGGCUGCAAGAACAUCUCGGCUUUGGGCUCAAAUCUACCUUGAUCGAGACUGGGAAAUCAGGAACUCGAAAUCGCAAAAAUGAUGUUUCUUUUGUAAUCAACAAUAGUGUAAAUUUAAUCUAGUUUUGUAUUUCUCCAGAUCAUUUGUUUAUCAAACACCCAAAAAAAAAUUGGGAAAAGACCCAUUGUCUACCAGGAAACUCACACUUCUAAUACAAUGUCAGAUUCGGUGCU